AACCAUAGAAACCUGCGGAGUACCUGCGGAGGGAUCAUUACCGAUUUUGAGUGAGCCCUGGUCUCUGACCAUGAUCUCGCGAAACUUUGUAUUUAAAACCCCACUCUUAUAAUUAAAAUGUUUAUAUUAUGAUAAAAAACAAAGAUAACUUUUAACAAUGGAUCU
RNAcentral lists this unclassified non-coding RNA (165 nucleotides) under soil metagenome. RNAcentral's name for it is "partial contains 5.8S ribosomal RNA, internal transcribed spacer 2, and large subunit ribosomal RNA". The record is from RNAcentral.